GACGAACGCUGGCGGCGUGCCUAAUACAUGCAAGUAGAACGCAGUUGUGAACGGGUGAGUAACGCGUAGGUAACUGCCUGGUAGCGGGGGAUAACUUUUGGAAACGAUAGCUAAUACCGCAUACUACAAGAUGGACCUGCGUUGUAUUAGCUAGUUGGGGGGGUAACGGCUCACCAAGGCAACGAUACAUAGCCGAACUGGGAGGGGGGUCGGCCAAACUGGGACUGAGACACGGCCCAGACUCCUAAGGGAAGGAGCAGUAGGGAAUUUUCGGAAAUGGACGGAAGUGUGAACGAGCAAAGGCGCGUGAGUGAAGAAGGUUUUCGGAUCGUAAAGCUCUGUUGUAAGAGAAGCGGUAUCUUACCAGAAAGGGACGGCUAACUACGUGCCAGCAGCCGCGGUAAUAC
RNAcentral lists this ribosomal RNA (407 nucleotides) under uncultured bacterium. RNAcentral's name for it is "partial 16S ribosomal RNA". It matches the Rfam family "Bacterial small subunit ribosomal RNA", at positions 28 to 526 of the family's 1533-position model. The record is from RNAcentral.